GUGGGGAAUCUUGCGCAAUGGGCGAAAGCCUGACGCAGCCAUGCCGCGUGAAUGAUGAAGGUCUUAGGAUUGUAAAAUUCUUUCACCGGGGACGAUAAUGACGGUACCCGGAGAAGAAGCUCCGGCUAACUUCGUGCCAGCAGCCGCGGUAAUACGAAGGGGGCUAGCGUUGCUCGGAAUUACUGGGCGUAAAGGGCGCGUAGGCGGAACAGAAAGUCAGAGGUGAAAUCCCAGGGCUCAACCUUGGAACUGCCUUUGAUACUGGGUGUCUUGAGUGUGAGAGAGGUGAGUGGAACUCCGAGUGUAGAGGUGAAAUUCGUAGAUAUUCGGAAGAACACCAGUGGCGAAGGCGACUCACUGGCUCAUUACUGACGCUGAGGCUCGAAAGCGUGGGGAGCAAACAGGAUUAGAAACCCGGGUAGUCC
This 425-nucleotide ribosomal RNA is filed under the name uncultured bacterium. Its description in RNAcentral is "partial 16S ribosomal RNA". It matches the Rfam family "Bacterial small subunit ribosomal RNA", at positions 354 to 796 of the family's 1533-position model. The record is from RNAcentral.